This 1493-nucleotide ribosomal RNA is filed under the name uncultured bacterium. RNAcentral's name for it is "bacterial SSU rRNA". It matches the Rfam family "Bacterial small subunit ribosomal RNA". The record is from RNAcentral.
AGAGUUUGAUCCUGGCUCAGAUUGGACGCUGGCGGCAUGCUUUACACAUGCAAGUCGAACGGCAGCGCGGGGCAACCUGGCGGCGAGUGGCGAACGGGUGAGUAAUAUAUCGGAACGUACCCAAGAGUGGGGGAUAACGUAGCGAAAGUUACGCUAAUACCGCAUACGAUCUAAGGAUGAAAGCAGGGGAUCUUCGGACCUUGUGCUCCUGGAGCGGCCGAUAUCUGAUUAGCUAGUUGGUGAGGUAAAGGCUCACCAAGGCCACGAUCAGUAGCUGGUCUGAGAGGACGACCAGCCACACUGGAACUGAGGCACGGUCCAGACUCCUACGGGAGGCAGCAGUGGGGAAUUUUGGACAAUGGGCGAAAGCCUGAUCCAGCAAUGCCGCGUGAGUGAAGAAGGCCUUCGGGUUGUAAAGCUCUUUUGUCAGGGAAGAAACGGUGGAGGUUAAUACCUUCCGCUAAUGACGGUACCUGAAGAAUAAGCACCGGCUAACUCUGUGCCAGCAGCCGCGGUAAUACAGAGGGUGCGAGCGUUAAUCGGAUUUACUGGGCGUAAAGCGUGCGUAGGCGGCUUUUUAAGUCGGAUGUGAAAUCCCCGAGCUUAACUUGGGAAUUGCAUUUGAUACUGGGAAGCUAGAGUAUGGGAGAGGAUGGUAGAAUUCCAGGUGUAGCGGUGAAAUGCGCAGAGAUCUGGAGGAAUACCGAUGGCGAAGGCAGCCAUCUGGCCUAAUACUGACGCUGAGGUACGAAAGCAUGGGGAGCAAACAGGAUUAGAUACCCUGGUAGUCCAUGCCGUAAACGAUGUCUACUAGCCGUUGGGGCCUUUGAGGCUUUAGUGGCGCAGCUAACGCGAUAAGUAGACCGCCUGGGGAGUACGGUCGCAAGACUAAAACUCAAAUGAAUUGACGGGGGCCCGCACAAGCGGUGGAGCAUGUGGUUUAAUUCGAUGCAACGCGAAGAACCUUACCUGGCCUUGACAUACUAGAAACUUUCCAGAGAUGGAUUGGUGCCUUCGGGAAUCUAGAUACAGGUGCUGCAUGGCUGUCGUCAGCUCGUGUCGUGAGAUGUUGGGUUAAGUCCCGCAACGAGCGCAACCCUUGUCAUUAGUUGCUACAUUUAGUUGAGCACUCUAAUGAGACUGCCGGUGACAAACCGGAGGAAGGUGGGGAUGACGUCAAGUCCUCAUGGCCCUUAUGGGUAGGGCUUCACACGUCAUACAAUGGUACAUACAGAGGGCCGCCAACCCGCGAGGGGGAGCUAAUCCCAGAAAGUGUAUCGUAGUCCGGAUCGCAGUCUGCAACUCGACUGCGUGAAGUUGGAAUCGCUAGUAAUCGCGGAUCAGCAUGUCGCGGUGAAUACGUUCCCGGGUCUUGUACACACCGCCCGUCACACCAUGGGAGCGGGUUUUACCAGAAGUAGGUAGCUUAACCGCAAGGAGGGCGCUUACCACGGUAGGAUUCGUGACUGGGGUGAAGUCGUAACAAGGUAACC